RNAcentral lists this ribosomal RNA (2823 nucleotides) under Salmonella enterica subsp. enterica serovar Enteritidis. Its description in RNAcentral is "partial 23S ribosomal RNA". It matches the Rfam family "Bacterial large subunit ribosomal RNA". Lineage: Bacteria; Pseudomonadati; Pseudomonadota; Gammaproteobacteria; Enterobacterales; Enterobacteriaceae. The record is from RNAcentral.
GGGUUGUGAGGUUAAGCGACUAAGCGUACACGGUGGAUGCCCUGGCAGUCAGAGGCGAUGAAGGGCGUACUAAUCUGCGAUAAGCGCCGGUAAGGUGAUAUGAACCGUUAUAACCGGCGAUACCCGAAUGGGGAAACCCAGUGUGAUUCGUCACACUAUCAUUAACUGAAUCCAUAGGUUAAUGAGGCGAACCGGGGGAACUGAAACAUCUAAGUACCCCGAGGAAAAGAAAUCAACCGAGAUUCCCCCAGUAGCGGCGAGCGAACGGGGAGGAGCCCAGAGCCUGAAUCAGCAUGUGUGUUAGUGGAAGCGUCUGGAAAGGCGCGCGAUACAGGGUGACAGCCCCGUACACAAAAGCGCAUGUGCUGUGAGCUCGAUGAGUAGGGCGGGACACGUGGUAUCCUGUCUGAAUAUGGGGGGACCAUCCUCCAAGGCUAAAUACUCCUGACUGACCGAUAGUGAACCAGUACCGUGAGGGAAAGGCGAAAAGAACCCCGGCGAGGGGAGUGAAAAAGAACCUGAAACCGUGUACGUACAAGCAGUGGGAGCACCCUUUGGGUGUGACUGCGUACCUUUUGUAUAAUGGGUCAGCGACUUAUAUUCUGUAGCAAGGUUAACCGAAUAGGGGAGCCGGAGGGAAACCGAGUCUUAAUUGGGCGUUAAGUUGCAGGGUAUAGACCCGAAACCCGGUGAUCUAGCCAUGGGCAGGUUGAAGGUUGGGUAACACUAACUGGAGGACCGAACCGACUAAUGUUGAAAAAUUAGCGGAUGACCUGUGGCUGGGGGUGAAAGGCCAAUCAAACCGGGAGAUAGCUGGUUCUCCCCGAAAGCUAUUUAGGUAGCGCCUCGUGAAUUCAUCUCCGGGGGUAGAGCACUGUUUCGGCUAGGGGGCCAUCCCGGCUUACCAACCCGAUGCAAACUGCGAAUACCGGAGAAUGUUAUCACGGGAGACACACGGCGGGUGCUAACGUCCGUCGUGAAGAGGGAAACAACCCAGACCGCCAGCUAAGGUCCCAAAGUCAUGGUUAAGUGGGAAACGAUGUGGGAAGGCCCAGACAGCCAGGAUGUUGGCUUAGAAGCAGCCAUCAUUUAAAGAAAGCGUAAUAGCUCACUGGUCGAGUCGGCCUGCGCGGAAGAUGUAACGGGGCUAAACCAUGCACCGAAGCUGCGGCAGCGACACUGUGUGUUGUUGGGUAGGGGAGCGUUCUGUAAGCCUGUGAAGGUGUGUCGUGAGGCAUGCUGGAGGUAUCAGAAGUGCGAAUGCUGACAUAAGUAACGAUAAAGCGGGUGAAAAGCCCGCUCGCCGGAAGACCAAGGGUUCCUGUCCAACGUUAAUCGGGGCAGGGUGAGUCGACCCCUAAGGCGAGGCCGAAAGGCGUAGUCGAUGGGAAACGGGUUAAUAUUCCCGUACUUGGUGUUACUGCGAAGGGGGGACGGAGAAGGCUAUGUUGGCCGGGCGACGGUUGUCCCGGUUUAAGCGUGUAGGUGUGUGUUCCAGGUAAAUCCGGUUCACUUUAACACUGAGGCGUGACGACGAGGCACUACGGUGCUGAAGCAACAAAUGCCCUGCUUCCAGGAAAAGCCUCUAAGCAUCAGGUAACAUCAAAUCGUACCCCAAACCGACACAGGUGGUCAGGUAGAGAAUACCAAGGCGCUUGAGAGAACUCGGGUGAAGGAACUAGGCAAAAUGGUGCCGUAACUUCGGGAGAAGGCACGCUGACACGUAGGUGAAGUGAUUUACUCAUGGAGCUGAAGUCAGUCGAAGAUACCAGCUGGCUGCAACUGUUUAUUAAAAACACAGCACUGUGCAAACACGAAAGUGGACGUAUACGGUGUGACGCCUGCCCGGUGCCGGAAGGUUAAUUGAUGGGGUCAGCGCAAGCGAAGCUCCUGAUCGAAGCCCCGGUAAACGGCGGCCGUAACUAUAACGGUCCUAAGGUAGCGAAAUUCCUUGUCGGGUAAGUUCCGACCUGCACGAAUGGCGUAAUGAUGGCCAGGCUGUCUCCACCCGAGACUCAGUGAAAUUGAACUCGCUGUGAAGAUGCAGUGUACCCGCGGCAAGACGGAAAGACCCCGUGAACCUUUACUAUAGCUUGACACUGAACAUUGAGCCUUGAUGUGUAGGAUAGGUGGGAGGCUUUGAAGUGUGGACGCCAGUCUGCAUGGAGCCGACCUUGAAAUACCACCCUUUAAUGUUUGAUGUUCUAACGUGGACCCGUUACCCGGGUUGCGGACAGUGUCUGGUGGGUAGUUUGACUGGGGCGGUCUCCUCCUAAAGAGUAACGGAGGAGCACGAAGGUUGGCUAAUCCUGGUCGGACAUCAGGAGGUUAGUGCAAUGGCAUAAGCCAGCUUGACUGCGAGCGUGACGGCGCGAGCAGGUGCGAAAGCAGGUCAUAGUGAUCCGGUGGUUCUGAAUGGAAGGGCCAUCGCUCAACGGAUAAAAGGUACUCCGGGGAUAACAGGCUGAUACCGCCCAAGAGUUCAUAUCGACGGCGGUGUUUGGCACCUCGAUGUCGGCUCAUCACAUCCUGGGGCUGAAGUAGGUCCCAAGGGUAUGGCUGUUCGCCAUUUAAAGUGGUACGCGAGCUGGGUUUAGAACGUCGUGAGACAGUUCGGUCCCUAUCUGCCGUGGGCGCUGGAGAACUGAGGGGGGCUGCUCCUAGUACGAGAGGACCGGAGUGGACGCAUCACUGGUGUUCGGGUUGUCAUGCCAAUGGCACUGCCCGGUAGCUAAAUGCGGAAGAGAUAAGUGCUGAAAGCAUCUAAGCACGAAACUUGCCCCGAGAUGAGUUCUCCCUGAGACUUAGAGUCUCCUGAAGGAA